This 72-nucleotide transfer RNA is filed under the name Heterocephalus glaber (naked mole-rat). It matches the Rfam family "tRNA". Rfam says of the family: Transfer RNA (tRNA) molecules are approximately 80 nucleotides in length. Their secondary structure includes four short double-helical elements and three loops (D, anti-codon, and T loops). Lineage: Eukaryota; Metazoa; Chordata; Mammalia; Rodentia; Bathyergidae. The record is from Rfam by way of RNAcentral.
AGGGAUGUAGCUCAGUGGCACAGCACAUGCCUGGCAAGUGUGAGGCCCUGAGUUUGAUUCCCUGUAACCCCC